UUGGUGAUUCCGCAGCGCGGCGCUCGACGAGUUAUUACCCAGAGUGUCGAUUGUGAUUCCGCGGGCGCCUGGUCUACGCAUACGCAAGCAGGACGCAGCAGUGUUAGAAAACUCGCCGUUCGGCACUCUGUCCGGUGCGCCCUCUGAAUCCAGCGGCUUCCCAUCUCUUCCUGUCUUCUUAAGGUCGUCAGUCCACCUGGUUGGUCUGUGCUCCUUCUGCCGAGACGUGGUCGCCAACAUGUUUAUCAUUUAUAUAAUAUUGAACAGAAUACUAAGAUUUAGCUGAUAUAUUUUUUGUAAUUGUCAUAUGCACUCAAAUGUAUAAUUAUGACUACAUAAUAAAGUUAUAGUAAA
This is a long non-coding RNA of Melitaea cinxia (Glanville fritillary), 354 nucleotides long. RefSeq lists it as uncharacterized. The transcript is spliced from 2 exons. The record is from RefSeq and is a predicted model, not a curated record. NCBI's taxonomy places the organism in Eukaryota, Metazoa, Arthropoda, Insecta, Lepidoptera, Nymphalidae.